This 301-nucleotide ribosomal RNA is filed under the name uncultured bacterium. RNAcentral describes it as "partial 16S ribosomal RNA". It matches the Rfam family "Bacterial small subunit ribosomal RNA", at positions 509 to 807 of the family's 1533-position model. The record is from RNAcentral.
CAGUAGCCACGGUAAUACAGAGGGUGCGAGCGUUAAUCGGAUUUACUGGGCGUAAAGCGUGCGUAGGCGGCUUUUUAAGUCGGAUGUGAAAUCCCUGAGCUUAACUUAGAAAUUGCAUUCGAUACUGGGAAGCUAGAGUAUGGGAGAGGAUGGUAGAAUUCCAGGUGUAGCGGUGAAAUGCGUAGAGAUCUGGAGGAAUACCGAUGGCGAAGGCAGCCAUCUGGCCUAAUACUGACGCUGAGGUACGAAAGCAUGGGGAGCAAACAGGAUUAGAUACCCCAGUAGUCCCUGUCUCUUAUAC